GAUGAACGCUGGCGGCGUGCCUAAUACAUGCAAGUCGAGCGAACAGAUGAGAAGCUUGCUUCUCUGAUGUUAGCGGCGGACGGGUGAGUAACACGUGGGUAACCUACCUAUAAGACUAGGAUAACUCCGGGAAACCGGGGCUAAUACCGGAUAAUAUUUUGAACCGCAUGGUUCAAUAGUGAAAGACGGCUUCGGCUGUCACUUAUAGAUGGACGCGGACCGUAUUAGCUAGUUGGUAAGGUAACGGCUUACCAAGGCGACGAUACGUAGCCGACCUGAGAGGGUGAUCGGCCACACUGGAACUGAGACACGGUCCAGACUCCUACGGGAGGCAGCAGUAGGGAAUCUUCCGCAAUGGGCGAAAGCCUGACGGAGCAACGCCGCGUGAGUGAUGAAGGUCUUCGGAUCGUAAAACUCUGUUGUUAGGGAAGAACAAAUUUGUUAGUAACUGAACAAGUCUUGACGGUACCUAACCAGAAAGCCACGGCUAACUACGUGCCAGCCGCCGCCGUAA
This 514-nucleotide ribosomal RNA is filed under the name uncultured bacterium. Its description in RNAcentral is "partial 16S ribosomal RNA". It matches the Rfam family "Bacterial small subunit ribosomal RNA", at positions 28 to 523 of the family's 1533-position model. The record is from RNAcentral.